UGAGGAAUUAUGCGCAAUGGACGAAAGUCUGACGCUGCGACGUCGCGUGGGUGAUGAAGGUCUUCGGAUCGUAAAACCCUGUCGAGAGGGAAGAAAGAGCGGGCGCUAAUAUCGCCUACUUCUGACGGUACCUCUGGAGGAAGCCCCGGCUAACUCUGUGCCAGCAGCCGCGGUAAUACAGAGGGGGCAAGCGUUGUUCGGAAUUACUGGGCGUAAAGGGCUCGUAGGCGGCCAACUAAGUCAGACGUGAAAUCCCUCGGCUUAACCGGGGAACUGCGUCUGAUACUGGAUGGCUUGAGGUUGGGAGAGGGAUGCGGAAUUCCAGGUGUAGCGGUGAAAUGCGUAGAUAUCUGGAGGAACACCGGUGGCGAAGGCGGCAUCCUGGACCGGUAUUGACGCUGAGUGAGCGAAAGCCAGGGGAGCAAACGGGAUUAGAUACCCCGGUAGUCCCUGAGCGGGCUGGCAAGGCGCAU
This 473-nucleotide ribosomal RNA is filed under the name uncultured bacterium. RNAcentral describes it as "bacterial SSU rRNA". It matches the Rfam family "Bacterial small subunit ribosomal RNA", at positions 355 to 825 of the family's 1533-position model. The record is from RNAcentral.